UCUUGAAACUUAUGACGGCAAGGGAGGAGGUUGAUUUGUUGAAAUAUCAACUAGAGUAGAUGGAGAACAAGAAUGAUGAGUUGGUGAAGGAGCUCGACUCUUUUGAAGAGGCCCUCCAUGAAGCUCGAGAGAUGAUUAAUCGUUGAGAUAAGAAAUUGAGACAGGCUGAAAAGUGGAUUGAGGCUCUCGAACGACAGAGGUCUAGAGCCAAAAGAAGGGUAUCUCAAGUGACAAAUCGAAAGUCUCGAGAGACAAAGGUUAGAGGCCGAG
This 270-nucleotide long non-coding RNA is filed under the name Elaeis guineensis (African oil palm). RNAcentral describes it as "long non-coding RNA (EGUI_LNC063160)". The record is from RNAcentral. Lineage: Eukaryota; Viridiplantae; Streptophyta; Magnoliopsida; Arecales; Arecaceae.